Molecule: ribosomal RNA, 440 nt
Filed under: uncultured bacterium
Lineage: Bacteria
Description: partial 16S ribosomal RNA
Rfam family: Bacterial small subunit ribosomal RNA
Source: RNAcentral
CCUACGGGAGGCAGCAGUAGGGAAUAUUGCUCAAUGGGGGAAACCCUGAAGCAGCAACGCCGCGUGGAGGAUGACGGUUUUCGGAUUGUAAACUCCUUUUGUUAGAGAAGAUAAUGACGGUAUCUAACGAAUAAGCACCGGCUAACUCCGUGCCAGCAGCCGCGGGAAUACGGAGGGUGGAAGCGUUACUCGGAAUCACUGGGCGUAAAGAGCGCGUAGGCGGGAUAGCAAGUCAGAUGUGAAAUCCUAUGGCUUAACCAUAGAACUGCAUUUGAAACUGUUAUUCUAGAGUAUGCGAGAGGUAGGUGGAAUUCUUGGUGUAGGGGUAAAAUCCGUAGAGAUCAAGAGGAAUACUCAUUGCGAAGGCGACCUGCUAGAACAUAACUGACGCUGAUGCGCGAAAGCGUGGGGAGCAAACAGGAUUAGAUACCCCUGUAGUC